Molecule: ribosomal RNA, 387 nt
Filed under: uncultured bacterium
Lineage: Bacteria
Description: partial 16S ribosomal RNA
Rfam family: Bacterial small subunit ribosomal RNA
Source: RNAcentral
UGGGGAAUAUUGCACAAUGGGCGAAAGCCUGAUGCAGCAACGCCGCGUGAGUGAUGAAGGUCUUCGGAUUGUAAAGCUCUGUCUUUUGGGACGAUAAUGACGGUACCAAAGGAGGAAGCCACGGCUAACUACGUGCCAGCAGCCGCGGUAAUACGUAGGUGGCGAGCGUUGUCCGGAUUUACUGGGCGUAAAGGGUGCGUAGGCGGAUGUUUAAGUGAGAUGUGAAAUACCCGGGCUUAACUUGGGUGCUGCAUUUCAAACUGGACAUCUAGAGUGCAGGAGAGGAGAAUGGAAUUCCUAGUGUAGCGGUGAAAUGCGUAGAGAUUAGGAAGAACACCAGUGGCGAAGGCGAUUCUCUGGACUGUAACUGACGCUGAGGCACGAAAG